AUUGAACGCUGGCGGCAUGCCUUACACAUGCAAGUCGAACGGCAGCACGGGUGCUUGCACCUGGUGGCGAGUGGCGAACGGGUGAGUAAUACAUCGGAACAUGUCCUGUAGUGGGGGAUAGCCCUGCGAAAGCCGGAUUAAUACCGCAUACGAUCUACGGAUGAAAGCGUGGGACCUUCGGGCCUCGCGCUAUAGGGUUGGCCGAUGGCUGAUUAGCUAGUUGGUGGGGUAAAGUCCUACCAAGGCGACGAUCAGUACCUGGUCUGAGAGGACGACCAGCCACACUGGAACUGAGACACGGCCCAGACUCCUACGGGAGGCAGCAGUGGGGAAUUUUGGACAAUGGGCGAAAGCCUGAUCCAGCAAUGCCGCGUGUGUGAAGAAGGCCUUCGGGUUGUAAAGCACUUUUGUCCGGAAAGAAAUCCUUGGCCCUAAUACGGUCGGGGGAUGACGGUACCGGAAGAAUAAGCACCGGCUAACUACGUG
This 486-nucleotide ribosomal RNA is filed under the name uncultured bacterium. RNAcentral describes it as "partial 16S ribosomal RNA". It matches the Rfam family "Bacterial small subunit ribosomal RNA", at positions 30 to 507 of the family's 1533-position model. The record is from RNAcentral.